Molecule: ribosomal RNA, 566 nt
Filed under: uncultured Wickerhamomyces
Lineage: Eukaryota; Fungi; Ascomycota; Saccharomycetes; Phaffomycetales; Phaffomycetaceae
Description: LSU rRNA
Rfam family: Eukaryotic large subunit ribosomal RNA
Source: RNAcentral
UGCUCAGUACGGCGAGUGAAGCGGCAAAAGCUCAAAUUUGAAAUCUAGCACCUUCGGUGUUCGAGUUGUAAUUUGAAGAUGGUAACCUUGGGUUUGGCUCUUGUCUAUGUUCCUUGGAACAGGACGUCAUAGAGGGUGAGAAUCCCGUCUGAUGAGAUGCCCAUUCCUAUGUAAGGUGCUAUCGAAGAGUCGAGUUGUUUGGGAAUGCAGCUCUAAGUGGGUGGUAAAUUCCAUCUAAAGCUAAAUAUUGGCGAGAGACCGAUAGCGAACAAGUACAGUGAUGGAAAGAUGAAAAGAACUUUGAAAAGAGAGUGAAAAAGUACGUGAAAUUGUUGAAAGGGAAGGGCAUUAGAUCAGACUUGGUGUUUUACGAUUAUCUUCUCUUCUUGAGUUGUGCACUCGUAUUUCACUGGGCCAGCAUCGAUUCGGAUGGCAAGAUAAUGGCAGUUGAAUGUGGCUUCACUUCGGUGGAGUGUUAUAGCUUCUGCUGAUAUUGCCUGUCUGGAUCGAGGGCUGCGUCUUUUGACUAGGAUGCUGGCGUAAUGAUCUAAUGCCGCCCGUCUUGA